This is a non-coding RNA of Brachypodium distachyon (stiff brome), 125 nucleotides long. The record is from Rfam. Lineage: Eukaryota; Viridiplantae; Streptophyta; Magnoliopsida; Poales; Poaceae.
AUUAUACUUCCUCCGUCCAAUAUCAAGUGACUCAAAUUUUUUCAAAUAUGGAUGUAUCUAUACCUAAAAAGCGUCUAGAUACAUAUAAUAUGAAGUCGCUUAUUAUGGGACGGAGGGAGUACAAA